GUCUGCGGCCUAUCAGGUAGUAGUGGGUGUAGCGUACCUACUAGCCUACGACGGGUACGGGUUGUGAGAGCAAGAGCCCGGAGAUGGAUUCUGAGACACGAAUCCAGGCCCUACGGGGUGCAGCAGGCGCGAAAACUUUACAAUGCUGGCAACAGCGAUAAGGGAACCUCGAGUGCCAGGUUACAAAUCUGGCUGUCGAGAUGCCUAAAAAGCAUUUCAUAGCAAGGGCCGGGCAAGACCGGUGCCAGCCGCCGCGGUAACACCGGCGGCUCGAGUGGUAACCGUUAUUAUUGGGUCUAAAGGGUCUGUAGCCGGCCGGAUAAGUCUCUUGAGAAAUCUGGCAGCUUAACUGUCAGGCUUUCAGGAGAUACUGUCUGGCUCGAGGCCGGGAGAGGUGAGAGGUACUUCAGGGGUAGGGGUGAAAUCUUGUAAUCCUUGAAGGACCACCAGUGGCGAAGGCGUCUCACCAGAACGGACCUGACGGCAAGGGACGAAAGCUAGGGGCACGAACCGGAUUAGAUACCCGGGUAGUCCUAGCCGUAAACGAUACUCGCUAGGUGUCGGCCACGGUGCGACCGUUGUCGGUGCCGUAGGGAAGCCGUGAAGCGAGCCACCUGGGAAGUACGGGCCGCAAGGCUGAAACUUAAAGGAAUUGGCGGGGGAGCACCACAACGGGUGGAGCUUGCGGUUUAAUUGGAUUCAACGCCGGAAAUCUUACCGGGACCGACAGCAAUAUGAAAGGCAGGCUGAAGACUUUUGCCGCAAUAUGCUGAGAAGUG
RNAcentral lists this ribosomal RNA (779 nucleotides) under uncultured Methanosaeta sp. Its description in RNAcentral is "bacterial SSU rRNA". It matches the Rfam family "Archaeal small subunit ribosomal RNA", at positions 213 to 989 of the family's 1478-position model. Lineage: Archaea; Methanobacteriati; Methanobacteriota; Methanomicrobia; Methanotrichales; Methanotrichaceae. The record is from RNAcentral.